This is a long non-coding RNA of Columba livia (rock pigeon), 1485 nucleotides long. RefSeq lists it as uncharacterized. The record is from RefSeq and is a predicted model, not a curated record. The transcript has 2 exons. Lineage: Eukaryota; Metazoa; Chordata; Aves; Columbiformes; Columbidae.
CUUGAGGGGAAAAAACCCACUUUUUAAUGUUAUUUAGCAGCAGUGAUGGGGUUAAAUCCCAUUUUUCUCCCUAUUUUUUUGUGGAAACUUGGGGGCCCACAGCUCAGCAUCCUGCCUGUCAGCCGCCGUGGCCGAGCGUCCGCGCUAAACCAGCAAUAAUGACAGCUUUGUGCUGCCUCGGCCGCCCAUCGGCAGCCACGGGUUAUUUUCGUGCGUCCAAUCUCACGAGGCUUUUAAAUUCUUCACAGGAGAAAAGCAUCUCGGUGACCCGGAGCACUGUGUGAUGGUUUGGGAGCCAAGAAGGAGCCCAAGAGGUCCCACCGGUGCCGCGGGAGGUGAGUGAUGUUCCUUUCUUCUAUUUUCCACAUUUUAGAGCUGUUUUUCUUAAUUUUCUUACAGUAAAUAAAAGAACCGUCCGGCUUCUUCCAACCUGUCAGUCACAAAAUAUCGCUGUCAGGACAUGAAAAAUUAAUGAGGCCUCAGAGAUGACGCUUCCCCUGCAGAAAAUGCCCCGGUGCCCAGGAGCCCUGACUCGGUCGGCUAAAAACAUGGUGGGAGCGCCGGGUGUUUUGUCUCCCAAGGAGCCAUCCCCGUGCGGGCGGAAGAUUUUGGUAAAUCCCGGUGAAAGAAACGCGACGGGAUGUUUGCACAAGACACAGCACACGCCAGGAGGAGGGCGGCCCAGCCGAUUUUAGGUCAGGUGGGGAAAAAAGCCCUUUUUUCCCCCAAAAAUCCCCACCGGGCUUAUUAGGAACGUUCCUGCAAUGGGAUUCCAGCCCAUGCAGCCGGAGCGGGACGGAGAGAGCACAAAGUGUCUCCUGUCCGUGAUUUAAGGCCCUCGAAAGACGGCAGUUCCUCACGCCUCGUGCCGGCGCUUAAUUACCCACCCCGGUAAAAACCGGCCUCUUAUUUCCACCUUGACUUUGCUGACUUCAGCUUCCCCGCUGUCACAUCCUGCCUUUGCCUUUGGCUGCUAAUUAAAAAGCCCUUCAGCCUUCACCUCCUCGCAUUGGUAAUUACGGACCGUGCACCGGCCGCCUCUUCGUCUUUGCGGCAAAGCCACGGCGUUCACAGAGAUACCCGCAGCGGCGUCACCGCGGUGGGGUCACCUACAGGAAACCAACCGGGGACUCUGUAGGAGCCGGGAAAUGCCCCUGGGAGGGUUGAGCACUGGGAAUAUUCCAUUUUAAAUCCUCGCUCCGUUUAAAAUCCUUUUGGGGGCAAACCCAGGGGAUCACUCCUGCCCACCCCUCAGUCUCUAAAUCGCAGUCAGACCCUUUCUCCUCGCUCCCAGCAGCACGGCCAAAGCUACUCAGACUUUCCAAACACAAGCAGGACACAACCCAGGCCUAAAUUUGUCCUGGAAAAAACUGUGAGCAGCUGAAAGAACAGGAGCCUGGUGGAAAAAAAGAGGAAGAAAGGGGCAAAAAAUAACCCACAAAACCAACUUGCUUGUGCAAUAAACGUCUGCGUGUGUUAGCGCUU